CCUACGGGAGGCAGCAGUGAGGAAUAUUGGUCAAUGGGCGCGAGCCUGAACCAGCCAAGUAGCGUGAAGGAUGACUGCCCUAUGGGUUGUAAACUUCUUUUAUAAGGGAGUAAACUGAGACACGUGUGUCUUUUUGUAUGUACCUUAUGAAUAAGGAUCGGCUAACUCCGUUCCAGCAGCCGCGGUAAUACGGAGGAUUCGAGCGUUAUCCGGAUUUAUUGGGUUUAAAGGGAGCGUAGGCGGGUUGUUAAGUCAGAUGUGAAAGUUUGAGGCUCAACCGUAGAAUUGCAUUUGAUACUGGCAGGCUUGAGUACAGUUGAGGUAGGCGGAAUUCGUGGUGUAGCGGUGAAAUGCUUAGAUAUCACGAAGAACUCCGAUGGCGAAGGCAGCUGACUGGACUGCAACUGACAUUGAGGCUCGAAAGUGUGGGUAUCAAACAGGAUUAGAUACCCGAGUAGUC
RNAcentral lists this ribosomal RNA (460 nucleotides) under uncultured bacterium. Its description in RNAcentral is "partial 16S ribosomal RNA". It matches the Rfam family "Bacterial small subunit ribosomal RNA", at positions 338 to 795 of the family's 1533-position model. The record is from RNAcentral.